RNAcentral lists this ribosomal RNA (440 nucleotides) under uncultured bacterium. RNAcentral's name for it is "partial 16S ribosomal RNA". It matches the Rfam family "Bacterial small subunit ribosomal RNA", at positions 338 to 795 of the family's 1533-position model. The record is from RNAcentral.
CCUACGAGUGGCAGCAGUGGGGAAUAUUGCACAAUGGGGGAAACCCUGAUGCAGCGACGCCGCGUGGGUGAAGAAGUACUUCGUUAUGUAAAGCUCUAUCAGCAGGGAAGAAAAUGACGGUACCUGAAUACGAAGCCCCGGCUAACUACGUGCCAGCAGCCGCGGUCAUACGUAGGGGGCAAGCGUUAUCCGGAUUUAAUGGGUGUAAAGGGAGCGUAGACGGCAGUGCAAGUAUGGAGUGAAAGGCGGGGGCUCAACCCCCGGACUGCUCUGGAAACUGUACGGCUGGAGUGCAGGAGAGGUAAGUGGAAGUCCUGGUGUAGCGGUGAAAUGCGUAGAUAUCAGGAGGAACACCAGUGGCGAAGGCGGCUUACUGGACUGUAACUGACGUUGAGGCUCGAAAGCGUGGGGAGCAAACAGGAUUAGAUACCCCAGUAGUC